GACGCCAAUGAAUACGUGCCUGCGGAAUAAUUAAUCUAUUAACGAUUAUUGCUUUCCUAACGUGGCUGUGGACUAAUUGGUUGUGAGGCGUGACUCUGUAACGCUGGUAGGGCAGAGGUGCGGCCGUUACAGCUCGAAAUGGAAGCAUCGUUAAGAGUGAGCCAUUACACGGACGCAGCAGCCGUUCUACCAAUUAACUAUAAUACGAGUUAAGUAGCCGAAUAGUUGGAAUUUAUCUGACAUCCGAGGAAAACCGGUGAACCAUAGCCUUUGCCGUGGUCCGAUAAUCCUUAACAAGACAUAAUUCGUUCUCAGUGGCGAACACCGUGGAAUUCGAAGAUUCUCAAGAUGUUAUCUCGCUGCCUGUUGGGCAGCCAGAGAGAGUCCCUCGGAAUGUCCCACCUACUCCGAAAGUUAACACACCGAUCGUGACUUCGCCGCAGCAACCAGUUUGUUCCUUUCAACGGAAACUUAAUACGCCUUUAAUUCCUCUCCGGUUCAGAUUAAUCUUCGCCAUCUUCCUCUCUGCUGCCUCAGCCUUUUUUCGACUCAAUUAUUCACGAUACUACCGCGGCUCAACAUUGACACUCGCGGAUGUUUUUGCGACACUGAAAGAAACGACAUUUCUUUCUUUCCAGCUUAUAACAAGAAUAACAAAGUUUAUGUAUCCAUAUGUUAAGGAAGAGUAUCCAAAGUGUAUUCACAAUAAUUUCCAUAGUGAGGCAGCCAUUACUGCUAGUUCACGAGGCAUCGUAAGCAGAUAUCUGCGGUGGAAAUCAUCAUACAUAUACAUAUACGCAUCGCGGUCGGACUACGACGAAACAAGCAAC
This 830-nucleotide unclassified non-coding RNA is filed under the name Bombus terrestris (buff-tailed bumblebee). RNAcentral's name for it is "misc RNA ENSBTSG00005028882.1". Lineage: Eukaryota; Metazoa; Arthropoda; Insecta; Hymenoptera; Apidae. The record is from RNAcentral.